AACGAACGCUGGCGGCAUGCCUAACACAUGCGAGUCGAGCGAGAUCCUUCGGGGUCUAGUGGCGCACGGGUGCGUAACGCGUGGGAAUCUGCCCUUAGGUUCGGAAUAACAGUUAGAAAUGACUGCUAAUACCGGAUGAUGACGUUAAGUCCAAAGAUUUAUCGCCUGAGGAUGAGCCCGCGUAGGAUUAGCUAGUUGGUGUGGUAAAGGCGCACCAAGGCGACGAUCCUUAGCUGGUCUGAGAGGAUGAUCAGCCACACUGGGACUGAGACACGGCCCAGACUCCUACGGGAGGCAGCAGUGGGGAAUAUUGGACAAUGGGUGCAAGCCUGAUCCAGCAAUGCCGCGUGAGUGAUGAAGGCCUUAGGGUUGUAAAGCUCUUUUACCCGGGAUGAUAAUGACAGUACCGGGAGAAUAAGCCCCGGCUAACUCCGUG
RNAcentral lists this ribosomal RNA (436 nucleotides) under uncultured bacterium. Its description in RNAcentral is "partial 16S ribosomal RNA". It matches the Rfam family "Bacterial small subunit ribosomal RNA", at positions 29 to 507 of the family's 1533-position model. The record is from RNAcentral.